This 425-nucleotide ribosomal RNA is filed under the name uncultured bacterium. Its description in RNAcentral is "partial 16S ribosomal RNA". It matches the Rfam family "Bacterial small subunit ribosomal RNA", at positions 354 to 796 of the family's 1533-position model. The record is from RNAcentral.
GUUAGGAAUAUUGGACAAUGGGCGCAAGCCUGAUCCAGCCAUGCCGCGUGAGUGAUGAAGGCCUUCGGGUUGUAAAGCUCUUUAGCCGAUGAUUAUAAUGACUGUAGUCGGAAAAUAAGCCCCGGCUAACUUCGUGCCAGCAGCCGCGGUAAUACGAAGGGGGCGAGCGUUAUUCGGAAUCACUGGGCGUAAAGCGUACGUAGGCGGCUUUGCAAGUUGGGAGUGAAAGCCCAGGGCUCAACCCUGGAAUUGCUCUCAAAACUGCAAGGCUCGAAUUCGGGAGAGGAUAGCGGAAUUGUCAGUGUAGCAGUGAAAUGCGUAGAUAUUGACAGGAACACCAGUGGCGUAAGCGGCUAUCUGGACCGAUAUUGACGCUGAGGCACGAAAGCGUGGGGAUCAAACAGGAUUAGAAACCCCAGUAGUCC